CCUACGGGUGGCAGCAGUGAGGAAUAUUGGUCAAUGGGCGGGAGCCUGAACCAGCCAAGCCGCGUGAGGGAAGAAGGUACAGCGUAUCGUAAACCUCUUUUGUCAGGGAACAAAGGCGGGGACUAGUCCCCGGAUGAGGGUACCUGAAGAAAAAGCAUCGGCUAACUCCGUGCCAGCAGCCGCGGUAAUACGGAGGAUGCGAGCGUUAUCCGGAUUUAUUGGGUUUAAAGGGUGCGCAGGCGGCCUGUUAAGUCAGCGGGAAAAGCCCGGGGCUCAACCCCGGCGAGCCGUGGAAACUGGCGGGCUGGAGUUGGAGAGAGGUACGUGGAAUGCGCGGUGUAGCGGUGAAAUGCUUAGAUAUCGCGCAGAACCCCGAUUGCGAAGGCAGCGUACCGGCUCCACACUGACGCUGAGGCACGAAAGCGUGGGUAUCGAACAGGAUUAGAUACCCUAGUAGUC
This 459-nucleotide ribosomal RNA is filed under the name uncultured bacterium. RNAcentral's name for it is "partial 16S ribosomal RNA". It matches the Rfam family "Bacterial small subunit ribosomal RNA", at positions 338 to 795 of the family's 1533-position model. The record is from RNAcentral.